Molecule: non-coding RNA, 111 nt
Organism: Acanthosepion pharaonis
Lineage: Eukaryota; Metazoa; Mollusca; Cephalopoda; Sepiida; Sepiidae
Source: the annotation of a GenBank genome assembly
AUGGCUAUAUCACAUUGAAACGACGGUUCUCGUAUGAUCACCGAAGUUAAGCAACAUCGAACCUGGUCAGUACAUAGAUGGGUGACGACUUGGGAAAAUAGGCGUUGUAAG